CAGCAGCCGCGGUAAGACAGAGGUCCCGAGCGUUGUUCGGAUUCAUUGGGCGUAAAGGGUGUGUAGGAGGCCAGGUAAGUCAGGUGUGAAAUCUCAGAGCUUAACUCUGAAACUGCGCUUGAUACUGCUUGGCUAGAGGAUCGGAGGGGGUAACGGAAUUUAUGGUGUAGCAGUGAAAUGCGUAGAUAUCAUAAGGAACACCGGUGGCGAAGGCGGUUACCUGGAAGAUUCCUGACUCUGAAACACGAAAGCCAGGCGAGCAAACGGGAUUAGAUACCCCCGUAGUCCCUGUCUCUUAUAA
Molecule: ribosomal RNA, 301 nt
Filed under: uncultured bacterium
Lineage: Bacteria
Description: partial 16S ribosomal RNA
Rfam family: Bacterial small subunit ribosomal RNA
Source: RNAcentral